This 497-nucleotide ribosomal RNA is filed under the name uncultured bacterium. RNAcentral's name for it is "partial 16S ribosomal RNA". It matches the Rfam family "Bacterial small subunit ribosomal RNA", at positions 28 to 507 of the family's 1533-position model. The record is from RNAcentral.
GAUGAACGCUGGCGGCGUGCCUAAUACAUGCAAGUCGAGCGAACGGACGAGAAGCUUGCUUCUCUGAUUUUAGCGGCGGACGGGUGAGUAACACGUGGAUAACCUACCUAUAAGACUGGGAUAACUUCGGGAAACCGGAGCUAAUACCGGAUAAUAUUUUGAACCGCAUGGUUCAAACGUGAAAGACGGUCUUGCUGUCACUUAUAGAUGGAUCCGCGCUGCAUUAGCUAGUUGGUAAGGUAACGGCUUACCAAGGCAACGAGGCAUAGCCGACCUGAGAGGGAGAUCGGACACAUUGGAACUGAGACACGGUCCAGACUCCUACGGGAGGAAGCAGUAGGGAAUCUUACGCAAUGGGCGAAAGCCUGACGGAGCAACGCCGCGUGAGUGAUGAAGGUCUUCGGAUCGUAAAACUAUGUUACUAGGGAAGAACAUAUGUGUAAGUAACUGUGCACAUCUUGACGGUACCUAAUCAGAAAGCCACGGCUAACUACGUG